This is an RNA transcript of Cercocebus atys (sooty mangabey), 1371 nucleotides long. It is a transcript of the gene named probable ATP-dependent RNA helicase DDX47 pseudogene, with no coding region annotated. The transcript has a single exon. The record is from RefSeq and is a predicted model, not a curated record. NCBI's taxonomy places the organism in Eukaryota, Metazoa, Chordata, Mammalia, Primates, Cercopithecidae.
AAGAUGGCGGUGCCCGAGGAACGCGAUUCUCUGACCGAAGCGUCCCAGCCGGUGAUGGAAGAGGAGGAAACUAAAACAUUUAAAGACCUGGGUGUGACAGAUGUGUUGUGUGAAGCUUGUGACCAGUUGGGAUGGACAAAACCCACCAAGAUCCAGAUUGAAGCUAUUCCUUUGGCCUUACAAGGUCGUGAUAUCAUUGGGCUGGCAGAAACUGGCUCUGGAAAAACAGGCGCCUUUGCUUUGCCCAUUCUGAAUGCACUGCUGGAGACCCCACAGCGUUUGUUUGCCCUAGUUCUUACCCCGACUCGGGAGCUGGCCUUUCAGAUCUCAGAGCAGUUUGAAGCCCUGGGGUCCUCUAUUGGAGUGCAGAGUGCUGUGAUUGUGGGUGGAGUUGAUUCAAUGUCUCAAUCUUUGGCCCUUGCAAAAAAACCACAUAUAAUAAUAGCAACUCCUGGUCGACUGAUUGACCACUUGGAAAAUACGAAACGUUUCAACUUGAGAGCUCUCAAAUACUUGGUCAUGGAUGAAGCCGACCGAAUACUGAAUAUGGAUUUUGAGACAGAGGUUGACAAGAACCUCAAAGUGAUCCCUCGAGAUCGGAAAACAUUCCUCUUCUCUGCCACCAUGACCAAGAAGGUGCAAAAGCUUCAGCGAGCAGCUCUGAAAAAUCCUGCGAAAUGUGCCGUUUCCUCUAAAUACCAGAUAGUUGAAAAAUUACAGCAAUAUUAUAUUUUUAUUCCCUCUAAAUUCAAGGAUACCUACCUGGUUUAUAUUCUAAAUGAAUUGGCGGGAAACUCCUUUACGAUAUUCUGCAGCACCUGUAAUAAUACCCAGAGAACAGCUUUGCUACUGCGAAAUCUUGGAUUCACUGCCAUCCCCCUCCAUGGACAAAUGAGUCAGAGUAAGCGCCUAGGAUCCCUUAAUAAGUUUAAGGCCAAGGCCCGUUCCAUUCUUCUAGCAACUGACGUUGCCAGCCGGGGUUUGGACAUACCUCAUGUAGAUGUAGUUGUCAACUUUGACAUUCCUACCCAUUCCAAGGAUUACAUCCAUCAAGUAGGUCAAACAGCUAGAGCUGGGCGCUCCAGAAAGGCUAUUACUUUUGUCACGCAGUAGGAUGUGGAACUCUUCCAGCGCAUAGAACACUUAAUUGGGAAGAAACUACCAGUCUUUCCAACACAGGAUGAUGAGGUUAUGAUGCUGACAGAACGCGUGGCUGAAGCCCAAAGAUUUGCCCGAAUGGAGUUAAGGGAGCAUGGAGAAAAGAAGAAACGCUCGCGAGAGGAUGCUGGAGAUAAUGAUGAUACAGAGGGCACUAUUGGUGUCAGGAACAAGGUGGCUGGAGGAAAAAUGAAGAAGCGGAAAGGCCGUUAA